This is a long non-coding RNA of Heterocephalus glaber (naked mole-rat), 1242 nucleotides long. Lineage: Eukaryota; Metazoa; Chordata; Mammalia; Rodentia; Bathyergidae. The record is from Ensembl.
AGAAGCCACCCUCUUUCCGACAGCAGAACUAAAAAGAAACGAAGAGUCCUAUUCUGCUGCAAGGAAUGUUUGGCUUCAUCGUUUUGCGAUCACACGGAGCAGAGAACCCGAGAGGAAGAGCACAAAGGAGGAGGAACCUCUCCCGCGUGUGAGAACGAUACUUUCCUGAGAGCGCGCCUCCAGGACCCCUAAAUCCGCACACACUCAGGAGAUGCACAGCUCGGUCCCUGGCUUCCUUCCCCUCCCACAGUUCGGCCAGGAAUCGAGUCACAGGAAUCACGCAGAGGUGGUGGGUACUGUUGCCCAAGGCCCCGAGGAGAGACAGCAGAACUGCCUCAGAAGCAGGGGCAGAUUGUCGGGCUCCCAGGUGCCUGUGCUGGUCCCUUGCGGUUAUUCUGAGUUUCCCAGGACUAGUGGAAGAACUGAGGGCAGAGAUGCUGAUCAUCUCUGUCCUGGCCCCACCCCAAGGCUGAUAAUCCGGCGGCCCUCACCUCCCUCUUCCUGCCAUUUCCCAGAGCCAUGGAACUCCACAUGUCCUGCUACAAACAGCUGUCACUGCUCACUGGGGGAGCUGAGCCCAGAAAAGCGGCCCUUCCACAUCAGCUCACCUGGGAGAGGUGUUAGCAUCAUCCAGGGAUCAGGAGCCCUAGUAACGGGGAGUGCACAAACCCUGUUUCGUCUGAAUGCCCAAUGAGCAAGACACAUGGGUCACAAGGGACCUCGGAGGGAGAAGCCUCCUGCUGGGUCUGGGGGGGCUCCCUUCUGUAAUCCCAGCACCCAGGAGGCUGAGGCAGAUGGACCUCUUUGAGUAGGAAAUAUAUCUUAGAUCCUAAGGUUAUGAAUGGGGGACUCAGAAGUUAACUGUAUCACACUCAUAUGGCAGGUGCUAUGUGUCCUCGAACUCAAUUCUUUAAUCCAGGCCCAAAUAGAACAAAGAGGCAAAUAUUGCUGUAACCCAGAAAGAUCACCACUGUGCCCCUCUGCUGUUCCAGCUCCAUAGUCUGUGCCAGGCGUGCCCGGGGCUCUCUUAAAGCUGCUCCCUCAUCACUCCACGUCACCACAGUCUUAAACACCCAGAUCCUUCAUCUCCCAGCCCCUGUAUCCCCUUGCAGUACCCCAACUUCCAGAAUAAAUUCUGCUAUGGUCACUUAUUUUAUUUGACUAUUAUUUUUUGAGGGAGGGGAGUUGAGGUAAAGUCUUGCUUUGUGUCCAGGCUGACCUUGAGCUCACUAUGUAGCCAAG